RNAcentral lists this unclassified non-coding RNA (3167 nucleotides) under Hevea brasiliensis (rubber tree). Lineage: Eukaryota; Viridiplantae; Streptophyta; Magnoliopsida; Malpighiales; Euphorbiaceae. The record is from RNAcentral.
CUAAUAGUGAUAACGACGAGCGACAGAUUAAACAGUCUUUCGAUUUCAUAAACCAGGUACGCACAUUUUCAAUCCAAAUCUUCAUCCUUUUCCAUUUUCAACCACUUCUAGAGCACACCUCUCUCAUAAACCCUAACCCUAACUUCCUGCAUUUCCAAGGCUUUCGCUUUCUAAUUCUCACUUCCUUUCCUUUACUCUUAAUGUUAUAUUUGUGUAUCAACUGAAUUCUGGCUCUCGAUUUUGGUGUAGAACUUGAUUUGAUAGCCAAGCAAUGUGUUGAUUGGAAGACUAGAAAGUUUUGGCAAUGGCAGAGUAUAUACGUUCCACAUCAUGUGUUAGGUUGCAUAUGUGGACAACCUGUGUUCGAGAGAAGAGCUAUUUAAUCCGAAAUUCACAUAUUAGGACGCCACAGGGAAAAUAUUCCCCUGGAACUUGUAAAGUUGUCCAGCUCCCUCUUUGGAAAAUGCGCAGUAUUAGACUCUCAAAUUUGAAAGCAAGUCCUUGUAAAAGGAAAAUUUCCUUGAGGUGUAGUUGCUUGGGAGCUCUGGUGGACCCUGACGGCGCUACAGCAUCUGAUUUGGUUUCUAUUAGCAACCAGUUGCUUCUGAUGGCCAGCAUUGCUCUUACUUAUAUGGCUGGUGUAAUUCCCAUUGAUGGGCCCAAUUUGCCUUCUUGGAGGAACAUCGCAGAUGACAAUGUGGUCCUUGAAAGCGCAGCAUCUUCUGUGCUAAGAAGAAUGAAAACCAUGUUAAUGUAAAAUAUGCAUGGGAUGCAGUAAAGACAAAACUCUUGGAUUCUCUUCAUGCUAUAGAACACAAAAGCAAUCUGGGAAACAGACUCCUUGAAAUUGACCAGCAGAGUGCUAAGCAACCCUUAAGUUUGUAUGCUGUAUCUGAGGGUCCCAAGUUGCGACUACUUUGGGCUUCUUUUAAACAACUCGAGGAUGAGGCAGGCACCGUCACUAUUUUCUUUCUCUCUUUAUCUUUUGGGGAUAAAUCACUUGACUCCUAACAGUAGUUUGGUGAAUACUGUUUUUGGUGAUUGUGACGAUUUUAAUUUGGAUGAUUGGCUGGCUGUUUUUCCUGAAAUUAUUGAAAAAUCUUGUAACUGCAUUUGCAUGGCUUGGCUAGUAGAGGAACUUCAUCUUCAAAACAAGAAACUGGAUGAGGAACUUCUCUCUUUGAUGAUUCAGAAGUUAAAGGGAAAUGAAACUGUUUUGCGGACUAUAAGAAAGUCAGGCAAGGAACAUCUUUAUGGAGAAUUAUUGUACUUUCUUAGAUUUGGUUCUCUCAGGUAAAUUCAGUAAUUAUCUUCUUGUUUUUAUUGUUUCUAAACUACUUUUCUUAUAUUGGUUGUAUUUAGAAUAUAAUCAAAGGUUUUUUCAAAUUGAGUUUCCAGAUUGCAAUUAAUUUUGUUAAUGAUAACAGGUUGAACAACCUUUGGUAUUGCAUGGCGACAUGUUUGUUCCUUAUCUUAUUACCAUUUUAUUUACUUGUGUUAUAUAUAUAUAUAUAUAUUGCUGUUUUACUUCUCAUUGAUUUUUCCUAUGCAAUGAAUUUUGUAUAUACAAGUAUAUAGUAAACUGACUAAUUGUGGUGAGAUAAAGUAAAUAAAAAGGACGAACACGAAUACACAAUUACAGUUUUACUGUGGCAUAUUUCUAAUUAUGUGUAACCAGCGGCUUAGUAUAUGCCUUAAAGUGCGAUCCUAUUUAUAGGGUUUGACUUCUACUGUUUGUCUAUAUCUAAAAACAAGGAUACUAGCAUGGAAGUAUCUAGAGGGAUUACAAAUGGUUUCAAUGGGGUUUGGAAGCAAUCACAUAUUGUAAAAGAGGCACUGUGGUGAAACACAUUAAAAUCUACCAACCAACGUAGUUGGUGAGUUUUGCAAACCAGUUAUUUAAAAGUGAGGCUAACUUUCAAACUUUCUCUGCACUCUGCUCGUCUUUGUAAUGGAAAGAUGUUGUCUGACAGAUACAGUAAUGGAGGUAGUUGCUAAAGCUAGCAAUGUACUGAUGUUGUUACAAUGGUGGUUGCUUAAUAAACAUUGAUCAUAUGGACAUGGUAAUUGUAUGUCAAUUUUAUCUAGACAGGACUUAUUAUCAGAGUUCAGAUACUCGAUUUCUAUUCUCCAGCCAAGUAUGCUCUGGAAAUGUUAGUGAGACUUGUUAAAGCUGGGCUAUACUACUGUUGAUGUGGUAUGGCAUGUCAGCAAAGUAAAAGAAGCAUUCCCUCUCUGAUAAAAGAAAAAAAAAAAGCCAAAACCUCUCUCUUUUAUUUUAAUUUCCAUCAUCUUCUUGUCAGUCAACCGAAGACUUUGAAAGCCAAUUUCAAUUGUUUCCUUGAGUUCCAUCAGUCCUGAGAAGUCCAUCCAUCUCUGCAAUAUUCUUGUUUUUUUUUGGCUGCCCCAUCCUAAACUCUCUAUUUCUCUGUCAUCAGUCCCUUAGGAAGGUUUCUCUCUUAGCAGUUGCAAGUUGCAACUCUACUUCUAAAAGCAAGGUAAGUUUUAUUUAUUUUAUUUUCUGCUUCUCAAAGAAAGUACGAAAGUUGGUCAUAGAUGACUGUAGCUCCUUUUUUGUUAUUGUGUUUAUUAUUAUUUCUUUCUGAAUUCUUAGUUUGUUUUAAAUUAUAUGGUUGGUUGCUAGAAAAGUUUAAGAAAAUUCAAAGAAAAUGAUCUUUUGAGGUUGCAUUAAGUAAUUUGUAUAUGGAGAAUGAAAACUUUUAAUAAUUACAUUUGAGGUAGGUUAGCAUGGAUGUGUUUGUUUAUGCUUCCAACUUUCCAAGCCAAAGCCAUGCUAAUGAUAAGAUUUGGUGGUAAAAUGAGGAUCAGUGUUUUGAUCAGAAAGAGAAUUUCACAUCCACACUGGCAUGGCAAUGCAUGUCUAUGUAUUUUUGUCCAAUCAAGUAGUUGUUUGCUUGGGGGGGCAUGUCCAUAUGCAUGUGCUGCCAUGUACAAAAUGGACUUAGUUGGCUUAAUAACAAAGUUCAGAGGUUUAGCAGGUUCAAAAUAUUGAUAAGAGCUCAGUAGGCUUUUUUGGAUGUCUAAUGGCGUAUCAAUGUCUUAUUCGUAAUUUUACUUUAUAUUACAUUCUGAAUCAACCUAUUCUUGUUGUUAGUGGUGGUCACAGUUCAGGAACCGUUGGCUCAGGUUCAAUGAAAUCAUGAACC